UAGAGUAAUAGUCUCAAACCUUGAGUGUA
This 29-nucleotide non-coding RNA is filed under the name Mus musculus (house mouse). Lineage: Eukaryota; Metazoa; Chordata; Mammalia; Rodentia; Muridae. The record is from RNAcentral.